AGCUUUGCGCAGUGGCAGUAUCAUAGCCAAUGAGGUUUAUCCGAGGCGCGAUUAUUGCUAAUUGAAACAGAAACACAUACUCCUUUCAAAAUAUUACUGCUCAUUGACAAUG
Small nuclear RNA from Ursus americanus (American black bear), 112 nucleotides. Its record names the gene U4. It matches the Rfam family "U4 spliceosomal RNA". From Rfam's summary of the family: U4 small nuclear RNA (U4 snRNA) is a component of the major U2-dependent spliceosome. The structure of U4 snRNA from yeast and human has been reported. The record is from Ensembl. NCBI's taxonomy places the organism in Eukaryota, Metazoa, Chordata, Mammalia, Carnivora, Ursidae.